GCGCACGCUGGCGGCAGGCCUCACACAUGCAAGUCGAACGAACCUUUCGGGGUUAGUGGCGGACGGGUGAGUAACACGUGGGAACGUGCCUUUAGGUUCGGAAUAACUCAGGGAAACUUGUGCUAAUACCGAAUGUGCCCUUCGGGGGAAAGAUUAAUCGCCUUUAGAGCGGCCCGCGUCUGAUUAGCUAGUUGGUUGAGGUAAUGGCUCACCAAGGCGACGAUCAGUAGCUGGUCUGAGAGGAUGAUCAGCCACAUUGGGACUGAGACACGGCCCAAACUCCUACGGGAGGCAGCAGUGGGGAAUCUUGCGCAAUGGGCGAAAGCCUGACGCAGCCAUGCCGCGUGAAUGAUGAAGGUCUUAGGAUUGUAAAAUUCUUUCACCGGGGACGAUAAUGACGGUACCCGGAGAAGAAGCCCCGGCUAACUUCGUG
RNAcentral lists this ribosomal RNA (433 nucleotides) under uncultured bacterium. Its description in RNAcentral is "partial 16S ribosomal RNA". It matches the Rfam family "Bacterial small subunit ribosomal RNA", at positions 29 to 507 of the family's 1533-position model. The record is from RNAcentral.